RNAcentral lists this non-coding RNA (30 nucleotides) under Mus musculus (house mouse). Lineage: Eukaryota; Metazoa; Chordata; Mammalia; Rodentia; Muridae. The record is from RNAcentral.
UCCCAAGUCAAAGCCAAUAGAUACUUUAGU